Molecule: ribosomal RNA, 1346 nt
Filed under: uncultured bacterium
Lineage: Bacteria
Description: partial 16S ribosomal RNA
Rfam family: Bacterial small subunit ribosomal RNA
Source: RNAcentral
GACGAACGCUGGCGGCGUGCUUAACACAUGCAAGUCGAACGGAAAGGCCCUGCUUUUGUGGGGUGCUCGAGUGGCGAACGGGUGAGUAACACGUGAGUAACCUGCCCUUGACUUUGGGAUAACUUCAGGAAACUGGGGCUAAUACCGGAUAGGAGCUCCUGCUGCAUGGUGGGGGUUGGAAAGUUUCGGCGGUUGGGGAUGGACUCGCGGCUUAUCAGCUUGUUGGUGGGGUAGUGGCUUACCAAGGCUUUGACGGGUAGCCGGCCUGAGAGGGUGACCGGCCACAUUGGGACUGAGAUACGGCCCAGACUCCUACGGGAGGCAGCAGUGGGGAAUAUUGCACAAUGGGCGGAAGCCUGAUGCAGCAACGCCGCGUGCGGGAUGACGGCCUUCGGGUUGUAAACCGCUUUCGCCUGUGACGAAGCGUGAGUGACGGUAAUGGGUAAAGAAGCACCGGCUAACUACGUGCCAGCAGCCGCGGUGAUACGUAGGGUGCGAGCGUUGUCCGGAUUUAUUGGGCGUAAAGGGCUCGUAGGUGGUUGAUCGCGUCGGAAGUGUAAUCUUGGGGCUUAACCCUGAGCGUGCUUUCGAUACGGGUUGACUUGAGGAAGGUAGGGGAGAAUGGAAUUCCUGGUGGAGCGGUGGAAUGCGCAGAUAUCAGGAGGAGCACCAGUGGCGAAGGCGGUUCUCUGGGCCUUUCCUGACGCUGAGGAGCGAAAGCGUGGGGAGCGAACAGGCUUAGAUACCCUGGUAGUCCACGCUGUAAACGGUGGGUACUAGGUGUGGGGUCCAUUCCACGGGCUCCGUGCCGUAGCUAACGCUUUAAGUACCCCGCCUGGGGAGUACGGCCGCAAGGCUAAAACUCAAAGGAAUUGACGGGGCCCCGCACAAGCGGCGGAGCAUGCGGAUUAAUUCGAUGCAACGCGUAGAACCUUACCUGGGUUUGACAUGGAUCGGGAGUGCUCAGAGAUGGGUGUGCCUCUUUUGGGGUCGGUUCACAGGUGGUGCAUGGCUGUCGUCAGCUCGUGUCGUGAGAUGUUGGGUUAAGUCCCGCAACGAGCGCAACCCUUGUUCACUGUUGCCAGCACGUUAUGGUGGGGACUCAGUGGAGACCGCCGGGGUCAACUCGGAGGAAGGUGGGGAUGACGUCAAGUCAUCAUGCCCCUUAUGUCCAGGGCUUCACGCAUGCUACAAUGGCUGGUACAGAGAGUGGCGAGCCUGUGAGGGUGAGCGAAUCUCGGAAAGUCGGUCUCAGUUCGGAUUGGGGUCUGCAACUCGACCUCAUGAAGUCGGAGUCGCUAGUAAUCGCAGAUCAGCAACGCUGCGGUGAAUACGUUCCCGGGGCU